Molecule: ribosomal RNA, 649 nt
Filed under: uncultured fungus
Lineage: Eukaryota; Fungi
Description: eukaryotic LSU rRNA
Rfam family: 5.8S ribosomal RNA (bases 273-426)
Source: RNAcentral
GAUUCUUGGUCAUUUAGAGGAAGUAAAAGUCGUAACAAGGUCUCCGUAGGUGAACCUGCGGAAGGAUCAUUACCGAAUUGUCAACGAGGGUUGUUGCUGGCCCCCAUAUGGGGGCAUGUGCACGCUCUGUUUACACAUCCACUCACACCUGUGCACCCUCUGUAGUUCUAUGGCCUGGGGGGCUCUGUCCUCCUGCUGUGGCUCUACGUCUUUACACAAACACUGUAACAAAGUCUCAUGGAAUGUAUGUCGCGUUUAACGCAAUGAAAUACAACUUUCAGCAACGGAUCUCUUGGCUCUCGCAUCGAUGAAGAACGCAGCGAAAUGCGAUAAGUAAUGUGAAUUGCAGAAUUCAGUGAAUCAUCGAAUCUUUGAACGCACAUUGCGCCCCUUGGUAUUCCGGGGGGCAUGCCUGUUCGAGCGUCGUAUAAACCCUCAAGCUUAGCUUGGUGUUGGGGCCUGCUGUUAACAGCAGCCCUUAAAAGCAGUGGCGGUGCCGUCUGGCUCUAAGCGUAGUAAUUCUUCUCGCUCCAGGGUCCUGGUGGAUGCUUGCCAACAACCCCUAAUUUUCUAUGGUUGACCUCGGAUCAGGUAGGGAUACCCGCUGAACUUAAGCAUAUCAAUAAGCGGAGGAAAUCACUAGGGAAUU